AGAGCGAACGCUGGCGGCAGGCCUAACACAUGCAAGUCGAGCGGCCGUAGCAAUACGGCAGCGGCAGACGGGAGAGUAACACGUGGGAACGCGCCCUUCGGUUCGGAAUAACUCAGGGAAACUUGGGCUAAUACCGGAUACGCCCUUACGGGGAAAGAUUUAUUGCCGAAGGAACGGCCCGCGUCCGAUUAGCUUGUUGGUGAGGUAACGGCUCACCAAGGCGACGAUCGGUAGCUGGUCUGAGAGGAUGACCAGCCUCACUGGGACUGAGACACGGCCCAGACUCCUACGGGAGGCAGCAGUGGGGAAUAUUGGACAAUGGGCGCAAGCCUGAUCCAGCCAUGCCGCGUGGGUGAUGAAGGCCCUAGGGUUGUAAAGGCCCUUUCGGGCGGGGAAGAUAAUGACGGUACCCGCAGAAGAAGCCCCGGCUAACUUCGUGCCAGCAGCCGC
Molecule: ribosomal RNA, 450 nt
Filed under: uncultured bacterium
Lineage: Bacteria
Description: SSU rRNA
Rfam family: Bacterial small subunit ribosomal RNA
Source: RNAcentral